This 74-nucleotide transfer RNA is filed under the name Nocardia bovistercoris. It matches the Rfam family "tRNA". From Rfam's summary of the family: Transfer RNA (tRNA) molecules are approximately 80 nucleotides in length. Their secondary structure includes four short double-helical elements and three loops (D, anti-codon, and T loops). Lineage: Bacteria; Bacillati; Actinomycetota; Actinomycetes; Mycobacteriales; Nocardiaceae. The record is from Rfam by way of RNAcentral.
UCCCUCGUGGCCCAAUUGGCAGAGGCGCCGGCCCUAGGAACCGGUAGUUGCGAGUUCGAAUCUCGCCGAGGGAA